RNAcentral lists this ribosomal RNA (179 nucleotides) under uncultured bacterium. RNAcentral describes it as "partial 16S ribosomal RNA". It matches the Rfam family "Bacterial small subunit ribosomal RNA", at positions 1321 to 1500 of the family's 1533-position model. The record is from RNAcentral.
UGAAGCUGGAAUUGCUAGUAAUGGCAGGUCAGCAUACUGCCGUGAAUACGUUCCCGGGCCUUGUACACACCGCCCGUCACACCAUGAGAGUUGGGAAUACCCGAAGCCUGUGAGCUAACUUAUAGAGGCAGCAGUCGAAGGUAGAAUCAAUGAUUGGGGUGAAGUCGUAACAAGGUAGC